This 118-nucleotide ribosomal RNA is filed under the name Procavia capensis (Cape rock hyrax). The record is from RNAcentral. Lineage: Eukaryota; Metazoa; Chordata; Mammalia; Hyracoidea; Procaviidae.
GGCUAUGGCAACACCACCCUGCUGUGCCUGAUCUCGUCUGACCUCGGCAGCUCAACAGGGUCAGGCCUGGUUAGUAACAGGGUGGGUGACUGCCUGGGAAUACUGGGCACUGUAGGCU